This is a long non-coding RNA of Dipodomys spectabilis (banner-tailed kangaroo rat), 100 nucleotides long. RefSeq lists it as uncharacterized. The record is from RefSeq and is a predicted model, not a curated record. Lineage: Eukaryota; Metazoa; Chordata; Mammalia; Rodentia; Heteromyidae. The transcript has 3 exons.
AGUUUAAGGAAGGGAAAUUAUCCAACCAAUAAGCAAAAGAUGAAAGUAGCUUCUGAUCUUCAAGGUAUACUUAAGCACUAAAUGUUAUCUUAGAAGUUUG